AAGCAUACCACUGAACGUCAUGCAUCAAAGGAGCUUUUCGGUAUGUUCCUCCUUCUCUCGUUACCUCCACGGCUCCACCCACAAACCCUAGCCCCCCAAAUCCCAUAGUCGAUGCACUUCUCCCUCCCUCGUCAGACAGCCGCCACAUCCCUCCCUCGUCUCUCCCUCGUCAACACAGCCACGCCUCCAACCUCCCUUCCUCGUUACCACGGCAAACCAGCUCCCAUGGCGGCGACAGGGGCGAGGCGGGCGCGGGGGCUGCGGGCGGAAGCAACAGGGGUUGAUGGAGGGUCGGGGAGGGGCGGUUGUAGGCGGGUUCGGCGGUUGGGGGCGAGCACCGGACAGGCAGAGGGAGCGUCUUGGUCGAGGGACAGCGAGGCUCGUCGGCUGGGCGACUUCGAGCGCUGGACAGGCAGAGGGAACGACUUGGUCGAGGGACGGCGAGGCUCGCUGGCUUGGCGACGCGAGUGCCAGACAGUCAGAGGGGCUUGGCCGAGGGAUCAAGGAUUCGUGCAACUCUUCCAAUAGGAGGAUAGAACACAUGCACAAAACUUCGAAAGCCACAAAACCUGGGCGGAAAUCAUGGACUACACGUUGGUCAAUAUUGUGCAGGCAACCAGUUGCCACAAUCGAACACAAUAAGCAUCACGGGAGCCUCCUCGUCGUCGGCGAUUCUCCGGCGCCUUUGUCUGGUCAUCUCUGGCUCCUGCCGUGCUCUCUGGUGCUCCUUUGCCUCAUGGAUGGCGCUCCCAUGCCUCGGACGCACGCCCCCUCUCCCCCGAGCUCCAGAUGGGAAGCAGCGGUCCCCCCUCUCCCCCGAGCUCGGGAUCCAUUGCAGCAACGGCAAGGCAGUGAAAGUUUGCAGUCGAUGCCAUCUAAGUAGGAUUCUGGGUUGAUUUCAGAGGAGAUCAAUUAUUGUGAGAAGAUGAAGAAGCUGAGAGUUGAUACGGACUAUUUGUGAAAGCAAGUUUAGGAGCUCAAAGCCAACAACAAGUCAACAACCAAGGCUUUGAAAAAGACAUCGACCCGCGACACCGGUAAGGCCACAACAUCCAUUACUGCUAUGACUGUUGACUGAGGUGGGAAAGCAUGGAGCCUUCCUUCUACUGGUAUAGUUUGGUUUUCUUAUGCCCAUAGUUUUUUUAGUCAUGUUCGUGUGGAGGAUGGAGUCAACGCUAGGCACAUGGUUGAUGGAGAAGGACAAGAGGAUGAAGCUCUGACUUGCUUUUCCUAUGAUUUGUUGAGCCAAUAUAUCGAGGCUUUCCUUUGCUGUUGAAAUCUCUAUAGAAUUUCAUAGAAGAUGAUUGGUCGGAGUAUGCAUAUCUUUGGACCCUUCCUCCUUGCGGGCCUCUCCACUAAAGACUGGGAGGCAAGAACCAGCGCCACCGCCAUGUCUGUUGGUGAUGCUCACGCUGGAAACCAGAGGUAGCAUCUUGGUCUUGUCCAUGCGAGCACCACAUCUCUGACAAUGCUGCCGCGACCAGAGGGCGGCGAGCUGAUCCCCCAUGGCUCCUCGCCGACGUAUGACAACACCCACCUCCAUGCUAAUCGAGCUUUUUGACCUGUCCAGCAUGAUCUGAGACGCCGUCUCCACUUCAGUUCAUUGGAGAUUGUAAUAUUGAUCUUAGUUCAGUUCAGUCUAUUAUGUGACCUCACUUUGUUAUCUAUGAUUUCCUUCAUUUCUUUGUUUUGGCACAUGUCCAUUAAUUUGUAUAGUGGAGCGGAUGACCAAAUUAUUGGAACCUUCCCAUGCUUUCCAGGGAAGUUGUUUGUUAGCUCUGCCCCAAACGUUGACAAGCCAGAUUUGGGCUUAUUUCUUCAGCUUUGCUGCACUGCAGCCUGAUAGUAUUUUUUUGUUGCUUGAUGCUUCAUUUUCCUACUUCUUCCUCUUAAUGUGACCUUUUGAUGCAGGGUGAUGUUUCUUUAUAUGCCCCUCGAGGGACGAGGCCGGCAAGCCGGUGAAUGCUUAUCACAACAAGCACAUGCUGUCAGGUUUGUUGGGUAUGCUUCCAGGAACAUGGGCUUAUGUUAGUGCUGGUGCAUUUGGGAGAUCUAUAAUUGCUGCAAAGAAUCUUGUAGCUGUGGCGGCGGUGACACUUUCAGUUCCUGCUUUCAGGGCACCUACUACAAAUAUACCUUCUGGAUCAGUGCAGGGACGAGCGAAAACAAUUGUAUCCUAGUUGGGAAUGCACUUUCUCCCAAUUCAUCCAUGGACGGAGGACUAGCUAGCACGGCUGCAUGAAGGUUUUUGGGACAGGUGCACGAACAAAAGGCAUCAUGGUCUGCUUAUUUCUGCAAAUAGCAGUGCUUAAAUUUAGUAGAACUGCACAAGAAGUUUAGAUGGUCAAUACACUACAUGGUUCAGUUCAGCAUUCCAACUAAGAACACAAUUAUAAUUGGUUAUUUUGAAAUGAAAGAACCUAAUCUUGGAUGGUGGCAACAAGAAAAACCAGAGUGAACUCCAGGAAAUUAAAGCCUGCCUAAGGAGGCCCUUUGCUCAGAGAAGCAUUGCUUGAUUUUUUCUGAUUUGUAAACCUUUUCACAACUUUGUCUUUUGCUGUGAACUAGUAAAUAUUUUUGUUAUGUUCUAUGAAUCAUUGAGAUGUAUAAAAUUUCUUAACUUAUGCUUU
This is an RNA transcript of Triticum aestivum (bread wheat), 2630 nucleotides long. RefSeq lists it as uncharacterized. Lineage: Eukaryota; Viridiplantae; Streptophyta; Magnoliopsida; Poales; Poaceae. The transcript has 10 exons. The record is from RefSeq and is a predicted model, not a curated record.